GACGAACGCUGGCGGCGUGCUUAACACAUGCAAGUCGAACGGAAAGGCCCUGCUUGUGUGGGGUGCUCGAGUGGCGAACGGGUGAGUAACACGUGAGUAACCUGCCCUUGACUUUGGGAUACCUUCAGGUAACUGGGGUUAAUACCGGAUAGCAUCUCCUGCUGCAUGGGGGGGGUUGGAAAGUUUCGGCGGUUGGGGAUGGACUCGCGGCUUAUCCGCUUGUUGGUUGGGUAGUGGCUUACCAAGGCUUUGGCGGGUAGCCGGCCUGGGAGGGGGACCGGCCACCAUUGGACUGGGGUACCGGCCAGGCUCCUACGGGGGGGAAGAGGGGGGAAUAUUGGCCAAAGGGCCGAAGGCUGAUUGCAGAACCGCGGGGUGGGGAAGACGGCCUUUGGGGUGUAAAACGCUUUUCGCCGGUGCCGAGCUGUGGUGACGGUAACUGGAGAAGAAGCACCGGCUAACUACGUG
RNAcentral lists this ribosomal RNA (468 nucleotides) under uncultured bacterium. RNAcentral describes it as "partial 16S ribosomal RNA". It matches the Rfam family "Bacterial small subunit ribosomal RNA", at positions 28 to 507 of the family's 1533-position model. The record is from RNAcentral.